RNAcentral lists this ribosomal RNA (469 nucleotides) under uncultured organism. Its description in RNAcentral is "partial 16S ribosomal RNA". It matches the Rfam family "Bacterial small subunit ribosomal RNA", at positions 331 to 797 of the family's 1533-position model. The record is from RNAcentral.
GUACACUCCUGCGGGAGGCAGCAGUGAGGAAUAUUGGACAAUGGGUGGAAGCCUGAUCCAGCCAUCCCGCGUGCAGGAAGACGGCCCUAUGGGUUGUAAACUGCUUUUAUCUGGGGAUAAACCUACUUACGUGUAAGUAGCUGAAGGUACCAGAAGAAUAAGCACCGGCUAACUCCGUGCCAGCAGCCGCGGUAAUACGGAGGGUGCAAGCGUUAUCCGGAUUUAUUGGGUUUAAAGGGUCCGUAGGCGGACUAAUAAGUCAGUGGUGAAAUCCGACAACUUAACUGUCGAACUGCCAUUGAUACUGUUAGUCUUGAGUAAGGUUGAAGUGGCUGGAAUAAGUAGUGUAGCGGUGAAAUGCAUAGAUAUUACUUAGAACACCAAUUGCGAAGGCAGGUCACUAAGUCUUAACUGACGCUGAUGGACGAAAGCGUGGGGAGCGAACAGGAUUAGAAACCCCAGUAGUCCC